GAAAGGCCUUAUGGCAAUGGUGGUCUUGUGAAUCGAGUCAGGUCCGGAAGGAAGCAGCUAUAAACUUGAUCCGCCAUGUGCUGUAAGUAUUUUUAUUUA
Non-coding RNA from Jeotgalibaca sp. PTS2502, 99 nucleotides. It matches the Rfam family "Bacterial small signal recognition particle RNA". From Rfam's summary of the family: The signal recognition particle (SRP) is a universally conserved ribonucleoprotein involved in the co-translational targeting of proteins to membranes. The record is from Rfam. Lineage: Bacteria; Bacillati; Bacillota; Bacilli; Lactobacillales; Carnobacteriaceae.